AUUGAACGCUGGCGGCAGGCCUAACACAUGCAAGUCGAGCGGAUGAAGGGAGCUUGCUCCUGGAAUCAGCGGCGGACGGGUGAGUGAUGCCUAGGAAUCUGCCUGGUAGUGGGGGAUAACGUCCGGAAACGGGCGCUGAUACCGCAUACGUCCUGAGGGAGAAAGUGAGGGAGCUUCGGACCUCACGCUCUCAGAUGAGCCUAGGUCGGAUUAGCUAGUUGGUGGGGUAAAGGCCUACCAAGGCGACGAUCCGUAACUGGUCUGAGAGGAUGAUCAGUCACACUGGAACUGAGACACGGUCCAGACUCCUACGGGAGGCAGCAGUGGGGAAUAUUGGACAAUGGGCGAAAGUCUGAUCCAGCAAUGCCGCGUGUGUGAAGAAGGUCUUCGGGUUGUAAAGCUCUUUUAGUUGGGAGGAACGGCAGUCAGUGAAUAUCGUGCUGUCUUGACGGUACCAACAGAAUAAGCACCGGCUAACUUCGUG
This 484-nucleotide ribosomal RNA is filed under the name uncultured bacterium. RNAcentral's name for it is "partial 16S ribosomal RNA". It matches the Rfam family "Bacterial small subunit ribosomal RNA", at positions 30 to 507 of the family's 1533-position model. The record is from RNAcentral.